GGUUAAGCGACUAAGCGUACACGGUGGAUGCCCUGGCAGUCAGAGGCGAUGAAGGGCGUGCUAAUCUGCGAUAAGCGCCGGUAAGGUGAUAUGAACCGUUAUAACCGGCGAUACCCGAAUGGGGAAACCCAGUGUGACUCGUCACACUAUCAUUAACUGAAUCCAUAGGUUAAUGAGGCGAACCGGGGGAACUGAAACAUCUAAGUACCCCGAGGAAAAGAAAUCAACCGAGAUUCCCCCAGUAGCGGCGAGCGAACGGGGAGGAGCCCAGAGCCUGAAUCAGCAUGUGUGUUAGUGGAAGCGUCUGGAAAGGCGCGCGAUACAGGGUGAUAGCCCCGUACACAAAAGCGCAUGUGUUGUGAGCUCGAUGAGUAGGGCGGGACACGUGGUAUCCUGUCUGAAUAUGGGGGGACCAUCCUCCAAGGCUAAAUACUCCUGACUGACCGAUAGUGAACCAGUACCGUGAGGGAAAGGCGAAAAGAACCCCGGCGAGGGGAGUGAAAAAGAACCUGAAACCGUGUACGUACAAGCAGUGGGAGCACAGGUUUACCUGUGUGACUGCGUACCUUUUGUAUAAUGGGUCAGCGACUUAUAUUCUGUAGCAAGGUUAACCGAAUAGGGGAGCCGGAGGGAAACCGAGUCUUAAUUGGGCGUUAAGUUGCAGGGUAUAGACCCGAAACCCGGUGAUCUAGCCAUGGGCAGGUUGAAGGUUGGGUAACACUAACUGGAGGACCGAACCGACUAAUGUUGAAAAAUUAGCGGAUGACCUGUGGCUGGGGGUGAAAGGCCAAUCAAACCGGGAGAUAGCUGGUUCUCCCCGAAAGCUAUUUAGGUAGCGCCUCGUGAAUUCAUCUUCGGGGGUAGAGCACUGUUUCGGCUAGGGGGCCAUCCCGGCUUACCAACCCGAUGCAAACUGCGAAUACCGGAGAAUGUUAUCACGGGAGACACACGGCGGGUGCUAACGUCCGUCGUGAAGAGGGAAACAACCCAGACCGCCAGCUAAGGUCCCAAAGUCAUGGUUAAGUGGGAAACGAUGUGGGAAGGCCCAGACAGCCAGGAUGUUGGCUUAGAAGCAGCCAUCAUUUAAAGAAAGCGUAAUAGCUCACUGGUCGAGUCGGCCUGCGCGGAAGAUGUAACGGGGCUAAACCAUGCACCGAAGCUGCGGCAGCGAACGUAUCACCCAAGACAACUUUGCGGAGUUGACGAUUGACGGAGCGAAGCGACGUCAAAGCGUUCAUUAAAGUCGAGUUGGCUUAGGGAUACGUUCGUUGGGUAGGGGAGCGUUCUGUAAGCCUGUGAAGGUGGCCUGUGAGGGUUGCUGGAGGUAUCAGAAGUGCGAAUGCUGACAUAAGUAACGAUAAAGCGGGUGAAAAGCCCGCUCGCCGGAAGACCAAGGGUUCCUGUCCAACGUUAAUCGGGGCAGGGUGAGUCGACCCCUAAGGCGAGGCCGAAAGGCGUAGUCGAUGGGAAACGGGUUAAUAUUCCCGUACUUGGUGUUACUGCGAAGGGGGGACGGAGAAGGCUAUGUUGGCCGGGCGACGGUUGUCCCGGUUUAAGCGUGUAGGUGUGUGUUCCAGGUAAAUCCGGUUCACUUUAACACUGAGGCGUGACGACGAGGCACUACGGUGCUGAAGCAACAAAUGCCCUGCUUCCAGGAAAAGCCUCUAAGCAUCAGGUAACAUCAAAUCGUACCCCAAACCGACACAGGUGGUCAGGUAGAGAAUACCAAGGCGCUUGAGAGAACUCGGGUGAAGGAACUAGGCAAAAUGGUGCCGUAACUUCGGGAGAAGGCACGCUGACACGUAGGUGAAGUGAUUUACUCAUGGAGCUGAAGUCAGUCGAAGAUACCAGCUGGCUGCAACUGUUUAUUAAAAACACAGCACUGUGCAAACACGAAAGUGGACGUAUACGGUGUGACGCCUGCCCGGUGCCGGAAGGUUAAUUGAUGGGGUCAGCGCAAGCGAAGCUCCUGAUCGAAGCCCCGGUAAACGGCGGCCGUAACUAUAACGGUCCUAAGGUAGCGAAAUUCCUUGUCGGGUAAGUUCCGACCUGCACGAAUGGCGUAAUGAUGGCCAGGCUGUCUCCACCCGAGACUCAGUGAAAUUGAACUCGCUGUGAAGAUGCAGUGUACCCGCGGCAAGACGGAAAGACCCCGUGAACCUUUACUAUAGCUUGACACUGAACAUUGAGCCUUGAUGUGUAGGAUAGGUGGGAGGCUUUGAAGUGUGGACGCCAGUCUGCAUGGAGCCGACCUUGAAAUACCACCCUUUAAUGUUUGAUGUUCUAACGUGGACCCGUAAUCCGGGUUGCGGACAGUGUCUGGUGGGUAGUUUGACUGGGGCGGUCUCCUCCUAAAGAGUAACGGAGGAGCACGAAGGUUGGCUAAUCCUGGUCGGACAUCAGGAGGUUAGUGCAAUGGCAUAAGCCAGCUUGACUGCGAGCGUGACGGCGCAAGCAGGUGCGAAAGCAGGUCAUAGUGAUCCGGUGGUUCUGAAUGGAAGGGCCAUCGCUCAACGGAUAAAAGGUACUCCGGGGAUAACAGGCUGAUACCGCCCAAGAGUUCAUAUCGACGGCGGUGUUUGGCACCUCGAUGUCGGCUCAUCACAUCCUGGGGCUGAAGUAGGUCCCAAGGGUAUGGCUGUUCGCCAUUUAAAGUGGUACGCGAGCUGGGUUUAGAACGUCGUGAGACAGUUCGGUCCCUAUCUGCCGUGGGCGCUGGAGAACUGAGGGGGGCUGCUCCUAGUACGAGAGGACCGGAGUGGACGCAUCACUGGUGUUCGGGUUGUCAUGCCAAUGGCACUGCCCGGUAGCUAAAUGCGGAAGAGAUAAGUGCUGAAAGCAUCUAAGCACGAAACUUGCCCCGAGAUGAGUUCUCCCUGAGACUUUAGAUCUCCUGAAGGAACGUUGAAGACGACGACGUUGAUAGGCCGGGUGUGUAAGCGCAGCGAUGCGUUGAGCUAACCGGUACUAAUGAACCGUGAGGCUUAACCUU
RNAcentral lists this ribosomal RNA (2992 nucleotides) under Salmonella enterica subsp. enterica serovar Ohio. RNAcentral describes it as "23S ribosomal RNA". It matches the Rfam family "Bacterial large subunit ribosomal RNA". Lineage: Bacteria; Pseudomonadati; Pseudomonadota; Gammaproteobacteria; Enterobacterales; Enterobacteriaceae. The record is from RNAcentral.